GUGUCAGCAGCCGCGGUAAUACGGGGGGGGUAAGCGUUGUUCGGAAUUACUGGGCGUAAAGGGCUCGUAGGCGGCCAACUAAGUCAGACGUGAAAUCCCUCAGCUUAACUGGGGAACUGCGUCUGAUACUGGAUGGCUUGGAUCCGGAAGAGGGAUGCGGAAUUCCAGGUGUAGCGGUGAAAUGCGUAGAUAUCUGGAGGAACACCGGUGGCGAAGGCGGCAUCCUGGGCCGGUAUUGACGCUGAGGAGCGAAAGCUAGGGGAGCAAACGGGAUUAGAUACCCCCGUAGUCC
This 292-nucleotide ribosomal RNA is filed under the name uncultured bacterium. RNAcentral describes it as "partial 16S ribosomal RNA". It matches the Rfam family "Bacterial small subunit ribosomal RNA", at positions 505 to 796 of the family's 1533-position model. The record is from RNAcentral.